UACGUAGGGAGCUAGCGUUGUUCGGAAUUACUGGGCGUAAAGCGCGCGUAGGCGGCUUUGUAAGUUAGAGGUGAAAGCCCGGGGCUCAACCCCGGAACUGCCUUUAAGACUGCAUCGCUUGAAUCCGGGAGAGGUGAGUGGAAUUCCGAGUGUAGAGGUGAAAUUCGUAGAUAUUCGGAAGAACACCGGUGGCGAAGGCGGCUCACUGGACCGGUAUUGACGCUGAUGUGCGAAAGCGUGGGGAGCAAACAGG
Molecule: ribosomal RNA, 253 nt
Filed under: uncultured bacterium
Lineage: Bacteria
Description: partial 16S ribosomal RNA
Rfam family: Bacterial small subunit ribosomal RNA
Source: RNAcentral